Molecule: RNA transcript, 2738 nt
Organism: Hyalella azteca
Lineage: Eukaryota; Metazoa; Arthropoda; Malacostraca; Amphipoda; Hyalellidae
Exons: 3
Source: RefSeq, a predicted model, not a curated record
UAUUGGUGAGCUACCAUCAGCAAAGAACGUCCGCCACUCUUCUUAUUUACUAACUAGUUUCAAAGUCCUAUUGUAUAUGCUUAUAAAACAUUACGCAGUAUAGGUUAUAAUAAUAUUUUAAAUAAGAUUCUUUCCUUUAUACUUCAUUCGAAGCCAAAGGAGCUUUUUAACGCAAGUUUUUUUCAUUACUGAGACUCUGAGAGUGAAUUUACUUCCUAGUGUUGGAGCUGAGGUGGCUAAAAAGUUACCGACUCAGGUCUCAAUAUAAAGUUAUAGUCAUGGGUUUUUGCUUUGGUGAUCAUCUGUUAAAGGUAUCAGAGGAAGAAUCCUGCUUACCUGAGAGACAGAGAGAAGCUGCAGAUGCCAGGGACAUGAGGGUGCCUCCUAUACAUCAUCCAUCCUUGGGUCAGGCAGAGCAGCCCCAAAUGUCUCCUUUUCCAGACCUUAUGCAGUUGUUGGGUUUUAACAGUGAUUCAGAAUCAAGCUCAGAUGCCAUAUUUUCCAACAGUAAGUCCAUAAUGCUCUCAUGGGAAUCUUAUUAUAGUGGAGCCUUCAUUAUAAUUAAUUAUAGUGCUUAAACUGAUGGUGAGCUUAGUAAUUCAGUUAUGUUCUUCAUUAUCUUUACUAUUUUCACUCGACACAUGGAUUACAACCAAGAAGUCAAGAAGGUGGAAUCCAGUAAGUUUUCUGAGGUGUGUGUUUUUGUGUAAAUAUGUGUAUAUGUCAGAGGAUUUGUUGUGUCUAUUCUUCCACUACAAUUUUUCACUACGUUUGUCUAGGUAAAGUUAGUCCAAGAAUUGAAAAAAAUUGUUCCUAUUUUGUUGUUGCUUUAUAGAAUGCAAAUGAAUGAGACUGACUUACGUCUAGACUACUAUUGUUAUUCGUUCCUCGGUACUAUUGUUAUUCGUUCAAUAUUGUGGUGCCAAGGCUAACGAUCCUUCUGGCAGUAAGUAGUGUGGUUGUGAUCUAUAUCUGGCGUCUAAUCUGGCUGCUAGUCUAAAAAACCGUUUGAUGGUUAUUAAUGCAUUUGAUAGUUCAUGGUGAGUGAAGAUCAAUGAAUGUCACCUACUGCAAGUACAAUUUUUAAAUGUUACCACACUUCUGCAUUACUGCUGUUUUAUUUGUUGCAAGUGAUGCAGUAUGAAUCUAUCAUUCCUUUCAUUUUGUUCUACAAUGGUUUUGCGUACUUCUGUUCGGUUAUUUCCUUGUUGAAAUUUGUCGUUUACGUGAUGUACGGGAAGAUGGUGUGCUGUGAUGGUGCAUCAGGAAGUAUGUUAGUCCCGAUGUUCAUCAGUGACUGCUGUCGAUCGUAAGUAUACAUAUACUCAUCAAAGCAGCGCCGGACACCUACAUCCAAAUGCCCUGCACUUAAUUAAUCAUUACAUGUACUUGCAAACAGAAAGAUAAAACAUCAGUCCAACUUCCAAGUUUAGAACAUGAUGUUGUUGAUACAAAAUUAAUUUGAAAACAAAUUGUAUGCUCAUCAGCUAUAUGAUGAAUGUCACAAUUGCAGCAGAUACUACUCUGCAUCUCUUGGAUUGAGCUUAAGAAACAACCGGUUCAAAUGGUGCGUGUUACGGGUAAUUGAGUAUAAGAAAGACUUUUGUGGUUGUCGCGAGCUCAUGUGUAUUCUGUGGUGAUUUAUCUGCCGUAGAACGAGAGCCACAAACUGCGUUUGGCUGAGGGAGUGCGCUGCUCGCCGCCAAACAAGGGGAGAAACGUCAACAUGAUCGUCGUUGCCGACCUGCACGUUCCAGCCGCUUCAAGACAGCUUAACCAACAUUAUUAUACUCAUUACUAAUGUGAACUGAAAACAUGCACUCGUUUUUCAUUUCUAAAAUGAUGUUUAAGGCCCAUGAAGUCCAAUGUGUUAUAUUGUUCCGGAUUGGAGCCUUGCAAGUUAUUGCUUGUCCUUAUCAAACAUCUUGUCUUGAGUGCUAGUGGAAAAUUUAAAUGACAGGGGUCAUUCCUACCACUGGUUAUAUAUACUCUAACUGGCAAUAUUUUAUGCAGUAUGAUCAUCUCAUUGCCAUGUGGUAUUCUUUAGUAUUAAGCAUAGGUGUUAUUUAUCCCACAUGCGCUUUUUUCUCUUAUGUUCAUGCCCUAGACGACGCAUAUCACCGAAGGCUUGUCGCAGAAGGCGUCGAGCUCGCUCCGGUUGUAGUGAACGCUCAGAUCACGCGAAUGGUGAUAGCAAUUUCCCUUCAUUUAGCGGCGAUACUGGCAAGAGGACAUCGAAUCAUGUUCUAGAUGAGGAGGUCAUUCCAGCGAAGAAAAUCAGGCUGGAUUUACCAUACAAGUCUAUUUUGAAGAAGACAAGAUCCAGGCGCCGCUUCAGUACGCCAAGAAGAACGUUUUUCGUGGACUCUCCCACCACGCUGGAAUACGCUAGCUCGCGACCACCUUGUGAAAUAAGAUACCUUGCUGAGUUACAGUCUCAAAUGUCUUUGUGUUUUGAUGACGGUGUAUGGUUCAAAAAGACCGUUUAUUCUUCUGAUGAUAGCUCUUGAAAAUUGCAGCAAUUGUAGAAUAUACCACCGUUAUUUUUUUUUCAACUUAGAUUUAUGUAGGUAUCUUACCGCUUGAGUUAAGCCCUUAUAUUUUGCCUGGAAACUUGCCGGGUUGCUGACUUGACUUCUCAAUUCUGGUCUUAGAGAGUAAUGUUGCAUUAUCAUUUAGUGUUUUUAGUCUUAAGGUUAUGGAAUGUUCUAAAUUUUAUAAUAAACUGUUUCCAUAAA